This is a long non-coding RNA of Cucumis melo (muskmelon), 3921 nucleotides long. RefSeq lists it as uncharacterized. NCBI's taxonomy places the organism in Eukaryota, Viridiplantae, Streptophyta, Magnoliopsida, Cucurbitales, Cucurbitaceae. The transcript has 4 exons. The record is from RefSeq and is a predicted model, not a curated record.
ACCAACUUUGAAAUAUUUUCCGUAACUGUUAUUAUGAUUGAAUGUGAUAAAUGUUUACUUACGAAGCUAUGAAAGGUAUUUGAAUUUCAUGACUAUUUUCAAGUAUACAUUUGGAGACUAGAUUUCUUAAAGAAAUUUAUGCUAGCACGUAGAUAUUAAAUGUUUGGAAAGUAUUUAAACCACAAUGUUUUAAACAAAGCAUAGUAAGAAGUUUUGUUUUAAGAACUACAGUUUUCCACGAAAGAGCUGAGUAAAGUUCGAGCUUUGUGUAAAAUUUAUAAGCAGGCAUGUUUUAAUAUUUUUAGAUGAUUUAUGAAAUUUUCAUUAACUACAUGACUGAGAUCUUGAGCCUGAGGCUAGAGAUUACUAGGUGCACACUGGUUAAAUUCUGUUCUUGACGUUGAGUGUACUCCGUAACAACAAUGCUGUCGUGAGUGCUGGACGGGCCCCACUACGACAAAGACGAUGAGAGUGCUGGGCAGACCCCACUACAUCGUAGAGCUUGUAAACGUUGUUGUACUUGGUGUACCCUACAAAACGUAGAGAUCGAGUUGCCGGUGCCUGAUAGACUGCCUUAGUCUGCUGAAGCUCCAUUAUCGAUUGUCAGAGUCAUGCCACCACGUACUGGCAGACGACGCCGGCAAAAUCAGGACGGGAUGCAAAGUCCUACCUAAGGUCCAUCUGUAGGGGAAUCUAGUAUCCUAAGAGUUCGAGGUGGGGCAGGAAAUGAGCAGUUUGUGAGAACUUCAGAGGAGAUAGGAAGGCCAGAUAGAGCAGAGUCUAGUGAUCUAGAAAAGGCAUACAAAAUUGAACGGCUGAAGAAGUUAGGGGCUACAGUGUUUGAGGGUUCCACAGAUCCAGCUGAUGCAGAGAACUGGUUGAAUAUGCUUGAAAAGUGUUUUGAUGUGAUGAAUUGUCUUGAGGAGCGAAAGGUUAGAUUGGCCACAUUUUUGUUGCAAAAAGAGGCUGAAGGAUGGUGGAAAUCUAUAUUAGCAAGGCGCAGUGAUGCAUGUGCUUUAGACUGACAGACUUUUAGAGGCAUAUUCGAAGAUAAGUAUUAUCCCAGCACAUACUACGAAGCCAAGAGGGAUGAAUUUCUGGGGUUGAAACAAGGAUCACUUUCAGUGGCUGAGUAUGAGAGGAAGUAUACCGAGCUUUCACGGUAUGCUGACGUUAUUGUAGCUUCUGAGAGUGAUAGGUGUCGAAGGUUUGAAAGAGGGUUGCGUUUUGAAAUACGUACCCCAGUUACAGUCAUUGCUAAGUGGAUGAAUUUAUCUCGGUUAGUGGAGACUGCUCUUCGUGUGGAGCAGAGUAUAAUAGAAGAGAAAUCAGUAGUGGAGCUUAGUCAUGGGACUUUAAUAGCUAGUGGACUUAGAGGCCGUGAGCAGUGGAGGUUCAUGCCUGGGAUAAAUAUUUCAAGCCGUCAAGAUUUUAAGAAUCGCUCUGGAGGCCAAGCAUCGAGGAACGUGAGUUAUGGUUGUGUUUUUCAGAGACAGAGCCAGAGAAUACCUAGUCAACCCACUAUAUCAACAGUAAGAUCGCAACCAGGUCAGGAGUCCGUUGCUAGUACAGUCAGGCGAACACCACGUACGAGUUGUGGCAAGAACCAUCGGGGUCAGUGUUUGGUGGGUGCCGGUGUAUGUUACCAGUGCGGACAACCAGGACAUUUCAAGAAAGAUUAUCCGCAGUUAAACAUGGCAGUUCAAAGAGAUCAGAGAGUUGGGUCCUAGACAGUUGAGCAAUCGAGAGUUUCAGUGGUUCCAACAGAGGGCACCAGUGGUGCAAGGCAGAAGGGAGUUGUUGGAAGACCUAGGCAACAGGGAAAAGUAUAUGCUAUGACUCAACAAGAAGCGGAGGAUGCACCAGACGUUAUUACUGGUACGAUUCUUAUUUGUAAUGUACAUGCAGAUGUUUUAUUUGAUCCAGGUGCUACCAUUCCUUUAUUUCUAGUAUAUUUUUGACUAAGUUGAAUAGGAUGCUAGAGCCUUUAUCUGAGGGGUUAGCUAUAUACACUCCAGUUGGUGACGUUUUAUUUGUUAAUAAGGUAUUGCAUAAUUGUGAAAUUUUAGUAGAAGGUAUCAGUCUACUAGUGGACUUGCUACCACUAGAGUUACAGAGGUUAGAUGUAAUUUUGGGAAUGGAUUUCUUAUUUGCUCACUAUGCAUCUAUGGAUUGUCAUAGGAAGGAAGUGGUUUUCAGAAAACCAGACUUUGCUUAAGUGGUUUUUAGAGGUAUGAGGAAGGUCGUUUCUAGAAGUUUAAUCUCAGUUUUGAAAGCUGAGAAAUUGCUGAGGAAGGGUUGCACAACGUUUCUUGCACACAUCGUAGUAGUGCAGAGAGAAAAGCUAAAGCCAGAAGAUGUUCCUAUGGUGAAAGAGUUUCUUGAUGUAUUUCCAGAUGAUCUGUCAGGUUUGCCACCUGAUAGAGAGAUUGAGUUCACCAUUGAAUUAUUACCAGGAACAACACCUAUUUCAUAGGCACCGUAUAGAAUGGCUCCAAGCGAGCUAAAAGAAUUGAAGAUGCAGUUACAAGAACUAGUUGACAAGGGAUACAUCAGGCCUAGUGUUUCGCCGUCGGGAGCACCAGUGCUAUUUGUGAAAAAGAAAGAUGGUACCCUCAGAUUAUGUAUUGACUAUAGACAGUUAAACAAGGUUACAAUACGUAACAAGUAUCCUUUACCACGCAUCGAUGACUUAUUUGAUCAACUAAGGGAGCAGCGUUGUUCUCUAAGAUUGACUUAAGAUCGGGAUACCACCAGUUGAAGGUUAGAGAAUCAGAUAUUGCUAAGACAACAUUUAGAACGAGGCCGAGAAGAAUUAAACCGAGCUUAUAGACAAAGGAUCUAGCUCAAGACGGUGAGUGACAAAACCAACUUUGAAAUAUUUUCCGUAACUGUUAUUAUGAUUGAAUGCGAUAAAUGUUUACUUACGAAGCUAUAGAAGGUAUUUGAAUUUCAUGACUAUUUUCAAGUAUACAUUUGGAGACUAGAUUUCUUAAAGAAAUUUAUGCUAGCACGUAGAUAUUAAAUGUUUGGAAAGUAUUUAAACCAUAAUGUUUUAAGCAAAGCAUGAAUUAGUAAGAAGUUUUGUUUUAAGAACUACAGUUUUCCACAAAAGAGCUGAGUAAAGUUCGAGGUUUGUGUAAAAUUUAUAAGCAGGCAUGUUUUAAUAUUUUUAGAUGAUUUAUGAAAUUUUCAUUAACUACAUGACUGGGAUCUUGAGCCUGAGGCUAGAGAUUACCGUGUGCACACUGGUUAGGUUUCGUUGUUGACGUUGAGUGUACUCCGUAACGACAAUGCUGUCGUGAGUGUUGGACGGGCCCCACUACAUCGUAGAGCUUGUAAACGUUAUUAUACUGGGUGUACCCUACAUAACGUAGAUUUGUCAUGUUUGUUAUAAUUCUUCGAUAUACUUGAUAUGCCUUGCUAGAUUUCAAUGAUGAACAUGCUGAGUAUUUAAAGAAGCUAUUCUUACUACUACACGUUUACAUUUACGACUUGUAUAAACAGAUUUAUAUGUGUAAAGUUUUCACGUGCUCUUAUCUUUAAAUUCAUAGUUUUAAAGUAAGUCACUCUCUGAGAUUCAUAGCUCACCCUUUCCAAAAUGUUUUACCCAUUUUCCAAGUAGAGAUCGAGUUGCUGGUGCCUGAUAGACUGCCUUAGUCUGCUGAAGCUCCGUUAUCGAUUGCCAGUACGUGUUUUGAGUUGGGCAUAGAGUCUGUUGUGUUAUGAUGUAUAUACACCCUUGUAUGUUAUAGAUACUCCACAGUUUGUAUAAGCUUUAGUAGCUGUAAUUGUGUGAAUUUUUUUGGUUAUAUUUUGAUUAAGGUGUCUUUAGGUUUACUCGAGAAAUCGGUAAAUUUUGAGGUACACUUCAUGUAUGUGUUUGACUAGCCUAGGAUCCGCUGUGUUUUGUUGCAUGUA